AUUGAACGCUGGCGGCAUGCCUUACACAUGCAAGUCGAACGGCAGCACGGGUGCUUGCACCUGGUGGCGAGUGGCGAACGGGUGAGUAAUACAUCGGAACAUGUCCUGUAGUGGGGGAUAGCCCGGCGAAAGCCGGAUUAAUACCGCAUACGAUCUACGGAUGAAAGCGGGGGACCUUCGGGCCUCGCGCUAUAGGGUUGGCCGAUGGCUGAUUAGCUAGUUGGUGGGGUAAAGGCCUACCAAGGCGACGAUCAGUAGCUGGUAUGAGAGGACGACCAGCCACACUGGGACUGAGACACGGCCCAGACUCCUACGGGAGGCAGCAGUGGGGAAUUUUGGACAAUGGGCGAAAGCCUGAUCCAGCAAUGCCGCGUGUGUGAAGAAGGCCUUCGGGUUGUAAAGCACUUUUGUCCGGAAAGAAAUCCUUGGCCCUAAUACGGUCGGGGGAUGACGGUACCGGAAGAAUAAGCACCGGCUAACUACGUG
RNAcentral lists this ribosomal RNA (486 nucleotides) under uncultured bacterium. RNAcentral's name for it is "partial 16S ribosomal RNA". It matches the Rfam family "Bacterial small subunit ribosomal RNA", at positions 30 to 507 of the family's 1533-position model. The record is from RNAcentral.